GACGAACGCUGGCGGCGUACUUAACACAUGCAAGUCGAACGCUGAAGCUCAGCUUUUGUUGGGUGGAUGAGUGGCGAACGGGUGAGUAACGCGUGAGUAACCUGCCCCCUUCUUUGGGAUAACGCCCGGAAACGGGUGCUAAUACUGGAUAUUCACUGGUCUUCGCAUGGGGGUUGGUGGAAAGGGUUUUUCUGGUGGGGGAUGGGCUCGCGGCCUAUCAGCUUGUUGGUGGGGUGAUGGCCUACCAAGGCUUUGACGGGUAGCCGGCCUGAGAGGGUGACCGGUCACAUUGGGACUGAGAUACGGCCCAGACUCCUACGGGAGGCAGCAGUGGGGAAUAUUGCACAAUGGGCGCAAGCCUGAUGCAGCGACGCCGCGUGAGGGAUGGAGGCCUUCGGGUUGUGAACCUCUUUCGCUCAUGGUCAAGCCGCAACAAUGGUUGUGGUGAGGGUAGUGGGUAAAGAAGCGCCGGCUAACUACGUG
Molecule: ribosomal RNA, 483 nt
Filed under: uncultured bacterium
Lineage: Bacteria
Description: partial 16S ribosomal RNA
Rfam family: Bacterial small subunit ribosomal RNA
Source: RNAcentral